This is a long non-coding RNA of Cebus imitator (Panamanian white-faced capuchin), 4895 nucleotides long. RefSeq lists it as uncharacterized. The record is from RefSeq and is a predicted model, not a curated record. The transcript has 2 exons. Lineage: Eukaryota; Metazoa; Chordata; Mammalia; Primates; Cebidae.
AUUACACCAUGGCACUCCAGCCUGGCAACAGAACAAGACUCCAUCUCAAAAAUAAAAGGACCCUGCUGCCUCCUUUGCGUCAAUAUCUUCCCCUUCUAGGAGCCAUCUUUUUAGAUUGAAGUCUCCUGAUCAAUGUAGUAGUUUGUUGUUUAAUAAUAGAACUGCAUCCCCAUUAUCCUCAUCCCCUAGACUCCCUAGGACCAUUAUGGUCUCUUGCUUUCUGGCAAGAGACCUGCCCUAUUGCUUGGGUGGCGGGUUAGGGGGUGGUGCUCAGGGUCUGCCUAUCACUCCCCCUCCCUUAAGCUAUGGGUAUCCCUAUGGAGAUCAAGGUAUCCAUAGCCUGGGGAGAUGCCUCUUGGGCAGCAGGUCUUGAGCUCCCCCUGUGGGAAAAGCAGAUUCCCAGGCUGAUCAAGAAGGGCCCCUCUACAAAUCAAUGCAGAUGAUACGGGGAACAAUGCCUGCAGAUGAGUUCUUUCCUAAGCUUCCCAGGUUUUAGUUUGGAAACUAUUGUCUGGGUCCAGGUGGGAGCCAUCUCCUUCCCUCCUCUGGCUAUGCCCUGGAUCCCCCCUCUUCUGCCUCCCUCCAUUUUUGCUCUUCUCAUUUUAUAACGUGUGCUCUGGAAAAAUGCUAUGCUUGUCUCAUCCACACUGCAGUGUAAAUAUCUUCAUUCAAGGAGUGUUUAUUGAACUUGUCUUCCACACCCUGGCUAAAUCCUAGGGACACAGAUGCUCUAGAAUGUAAGAACCAUGCAGUACAGUUCUCCUUGGACUGACCUAGUUCUUCCUCCUUUCUCACUUGUAGUUCUCAAGAAUAACUGGUGCAUGCUGGAAGCAUAACAUCCUGAGACAAGGAAGAACUGGCCAGAAUAUCCUGGGCUCCAAUCUUGUCCCUCCUAGAACAAGAUGUCCUUCAAUACUUUAGCCCAGUGUAUCAUGUUGUCCCCAGGGUAUAAAACCCAGGUGGACUGCUUUCCUGGCCCUUCAGCUGUGGGGCAAGUGAGGCACAUGAAGACAAGAUUCCAUCCACUCAGGGCAGCUUUUCUAAGCCUUGGAACUGACUUGCUAUGAAUUCUAGGCUUUCACUCUUUCUUGCUGUGUGUGAGUAAAAACGUUGCUUCACUUAACUUGCAGUGAGUGUUCUAUCUCACUGGACUCAAGCAAGUAGUAGAAAUUGCAGCCCAAGAUGCAGUGGGCUAAAUGAUGCAGUGGGCUCACCUGUGCAUCGUGAGCCUGCUCCGCAGCCCACACAGGCAGAGAUAUUCAUCUGUUUUGUUCCCUGGUGACUCCUAAGGGCCUAAAUCAGUGCCAGCCAUAUAGAAGGUGAUCUAUAAGUAUCUGUUAAAUGAAAAGACAGAAAAGAACUAUGGGACACAGAAAAACAAAGAGCUUAACAUCACGAGGGAGCCACAACUAUCUGGGCUGGUGGCAUGGGGGUAACACGAUUUAGCCAGACAGUUGUAGAUAAAGAAAGUCAGAUUUCUUAGACAAAGUAGGAACAUGCUUUGUAGCGAUGAGGCAAGGGCAGACUCAGCAGAAGAGGAGUGGCUUGCCAGCAAACAAAGGCUUGCUGGGGAUUUUGUAGAAGAGUGUUUAUGCUGUGUGCUGAAGAGGGCUUUGUGCAGCGUUGAGGAGGCCAAGGCUGCAGUGGGAGAACUUGCAGGUCUCUGGUGGCAAGUUGGGUGCAGGAGGGCUGCAUGUCCUGGACCAGGAAGAAAGACAGACUUGCAGUUUAUCUGCUUUCCCUUUCCUGCUUUCUCCUGCUCCCACCAGCCUGACCUCAGGAAAAGCCUUUGUUUGCUGGCAGUCCACUCCUCUUCUGCUGAUUCUGCCCAUUGCCUCAUCACAAGAAAGUCUUUUCCUACUUUCUCUAGUAAAUCUGCCUUUCUUUAUCUACAACUGUCUUGGUACAUUUUUUUUUUACCCCCACGCCACCAGCCCAGACAGUUGUCGUGCUUGAGACAGUGAACUGUUUGUAUAUCUGUAUCCCAUAGUUCUUUUACUAAUUAGGACUUUUUCCUAAUUAGGACUCCACACUAACUGCCGCACUGUGGCAAAUACACAGAUGUUGUAAGGAUUGGGGAUGACAGAAUUCCGGCUGCCUAGUAGGCACUUGUUAGAAAGGGCUUCACGAGCAGGAGAUGAUUAAGUUGAAUCUUAACAAAUGAGUCGGAGUGGAGCUGGGCACAGUGCCAUGCACCUGCAGUCCCAGGUACUUGAGAGGCUGGGAUGGGAGGAUAACUUGAGCCCAGGAGUUUGAAUCCAGCCUUGGCAACAUAGUGAGACCCUGUCUCUUAAAAUAGUGAGUCAGAAUGACUUGUGAGAAGUCUGAAGUGAAGGGGAAGAGCAUUCCUAGGCCCACUAGUGAGCAAUUGAUAGGCUUUGGAAGCUAAGGAAGAGGGAGGGGUCAAAAUUGACUUCCAGAUUUUUGAUUUAGGCAAUUGAGUUGAUGUUGGUUCCAUUCACUGAACCAAUACGAACUUAGGCUUCUUUCAACAAAGGACAUGUUUGUUUUCCUCAAUUCUGAAAGGUGAGUAGGCGUUAGACAGAUGGGGGUAGAGUAGGCAUAUGAGAAUGUUCUAGGCCAGGGGUUGGGAAAGUUUUUCUACAAUGGACCAGAUAGCAAAUCUUUUCAAUCUGUGGACCUGUGAUCUCUGUGACUGUUAUAGUACCAAGCAACUAUAGAUAACAUAGACGUGAAUGGGCAUGGCUGGAUUCCAGUAAAACUUUACUUACAGAAACAAAUGGCAGGCAGGAUUGGCGGAAUUGUCCUGUGGGCCAUAGUUUGCCAGCUACUAUUUUAGGCCAGGGGGGCAGGAGGUACAAAGGCCCUGAGAUGGGAAGGAAUGAGCUAUAUUUAGGGAACUGAUUCAUGGCCAGUGUGGCUGGAGUUAUUAACCAAAGAAAGGGGUUAGCAGCUCAGAAGAAGUAUGGAGUUGAGGGCAGGCGAUAGAUAACUUACAGGCUUGUAACCCAUGUUAAGGGUUUUGUAUUUUGCCUUAGUGGGAAGUCACUGAGUAAUUUAAACACUUUUAAUUUAGCUAUAAACAUAUACAGAAAAUGUGCAUAUUAUAAGUGCAUAGUUAGUUGAAUUUCCGCAAACUGAAUAUCCACAUAAACAGCAUGCAGACCAAGAAACAGAGCAUUAUCAGAAGCCAAGAAGUAUUCACCUUGCACCCCCAGCCAGUCCACACCCCUCCAGUCAGCACCAUUUGGACCUUCUAUAACAUGUAUUUGUUUGCCUGGGUUUCUAUUUUAUGCAUAUGGAAUCAUCUGUUAUCUGGCUUCUUUCACUCAAAGUAAUGUCUGUGAAAUCUGUCUAUAGUAGUUGUAGAUCGUCCAUUCUCACCAUGUGAAUACACAAUUGGGUUGUGGAUGAGCAUUUGGGAUGUUUUUAGUUGUGGGCUGUUAUGAAUUGUGCUGCUCUGAAUAUUUAUGACCAUGUCUUGAUAAAUAUGCAUUUCUGUUGGAUGAACAUGCUUAAUGGUUUAAUUGCAGGGUCACAGGAUGGUUGUAUGUACAGCUUUAGCAGAUAUUAUAGAAUCAUUUUCCAAAAUGAUGAUACCAUUUUACAUUCUCACAAACAAGGCAUGAGAGUUCCAAUCUCUUCUCAUACUCACCUCCACUUGAUGUUUUGCACCGAAUAUUUUUUAGCUAUUCUGGUUGUUUUGUAGAGAUAUAUCACUGUGGUUUUAAUUUUCAUUUUCCUAAUAAGUGAACAGGGAGCAUAUUUUCAAAAUUUUAUUGGCCAUUGUAGACUUUUCCAAGAGCAUGAAAUGAUCAUAUUUGCAUUCUAAGUAAUCCUCUCUGGCUUUUGGUGUGGAAUAUCUAUCUGUGGGUACAGCAGGAAUCCAAACAGGGAUUUAUUUGAGUUAGGAGAUCAUGGCAAUAUUGAGGCCGAAUGUGAGAAUAGCUUGGACUAGGGCAGUGGUAGUUGAGUUGGAAAGAUGUGGAUGAAUUUGAAGGCCAUUUCUGAGGUAAAAUUGAAAGGACCUGGUGGUGGAUUAGAUGCAGGAACUGAGAGACAGGAAGGUAUACAAAUUGUGGCUGUAAGAUUUCUGGUUAACGCAUCAUUUCUUUCUGAGUUUUAGGUUUGAAAUCAUUGCAUAUAUUUUCUUUAGGAUUUUUUGGUUACUUUCAAAAGACUGGAGAAGAAAAUUUCAAUGGAAAAAAGGAACACAUCUAAUAUGAUGUAAAGAUAACCAAAUUUCAUCUGAUGACAUUUGGUUGGAAUUUAACCAGUAUUGUUCAUCUGAGGGCUGAAGAUGUGUCUCUUGAAGUCUCAAAUUCCCACUCAACUUCUCAUAACCAUUAGGACUGAUUUAGCUGAAUAAUCUUGGGUAAGUGACUUAACCACUUGGAGUGUCUGAUUUUUUAAAAACAUGUAAAAUGGUGAUAAUAACAUCCCUGCCUUCCACGCUUGUUUUGAGGAUGAAAUGAGCUAAGAUCUGAGAACUUGCUCUGUGGAGGACUCCUUGAAUGAGAAUCAUGACUGAGGCUGGCUUUACCUUCAGAUCAUUAUGAACUGACUAUGAAAUUUGGUAAAUUAUGUGAAAACUCUUUAGCCUUAAAUGAAAUUUCUUGCUCCCAUGCUUUGCAUUCUAGUGCCAUUGUUUUAGGUUCCAGGCAUCACAUUUAGAAAUUUAUCUGUAGCCUUUAAGUCAGUAACCUAGGUAUGAACUUUAAUCUGAUUCACUUAUUUUUCUCUGCAUUUAGAUAGGAAAUUCUACUGCUGCUGGUAAAGAGUAGGCUCACAAAUAAAAUCUCUGGUUUCUUGUGAACAGUUUCCUUAAGUCUAGGCUCACAACAAAAUAAGAAGGAGCCAGGUAAGCAGUAUUUUCAUAUACAACAACAACAACAACAACAACAAAAGGAUAUAUACUUUGAUUAAAAAAAAAA